CGAAAAUGGCGUGGGAUACACGAGUUGCAGUGUGUUUGUGUGUUUUCUUUGUGAUACAGCGAGUAACAACAACGGAGUAUGAUCAUCGCAGCAGAAAUGGUUCUGUGUACAGGAAGUGUUGUAAAGUGACAAUGAAAUAGGGAAGAAUGAGCAGUGACGUUUUUUUAAAAAAACGAGAGUCUGAGAUUUUU
Long non-coding RNA from Schistocerca americana (American grasshopper), 191 nucleotides. RefSeq lists it as uncharacterized. NCBI's taxonomy places the organism in Eukaryota, Metazoa, Arthropoda, Insecta, Orthoptera, Acrididae. The transcript has 2 exons. The record is from RefSeq and is a predicted model, not a curated record.